UAGAAUGAAUUAUACAGAUAUAUUUACUAUAAGGCAUAACAAUGUAAAGAAAGGGGUCUCUUUAUUAAUAUACUAACAAAUUAUACAUUGUCUUUGACGAAAAUGCAACAUAUAAUACACGUUUUGCAUACAAUACGAUGUUCACAACAUCAACUGUAACUUUCGCAUCAACAUUAAUAAUGAACAAAAUUAGGCUUUCAUUUUACAAAAGUACUGAAU
This 219-nucleotide long non-coding RNA is filed under the name Ananas comosus (pineapple). Its description in RNAcentral is "long non-coding RNA (ACOM_LNC002170)". The record is from RNAcentral. Lineage: Eukaryota; Viridiplantae; Streptophyta; Magnoliopsida; Poales; Bromeliaceae.